AUACGUAGGGGCCUGACGUUGUUCGGAAUCAUUGGGCGUAAAGGGCGCGCAGGCGGCCGUCCAAGUCCGGUGUUAAAUGGUCGGGCUCAACCCGAUCAUGCGCUGGAAACUGGGCGGCUUGAGUCCCGUAGGGGAUGCCGGAAUUCCAGGUGUAGGGGUGAAAUCUGUAGAUAUCUGGAAGAACACCGAUGGCGAAGGCAGGCAUCUGGCCGGAGACUGACGCUGAGGCGCGAAGGCGCGGGGAGCGAACAGGUUUAGAUACCCUGGUAGUCCGCGCAGUAAACGAUGCGCACCAGGUGUCGGGCGGCAGCGCCCGGUACCGGAGCUAACGCGAUGAGUGCGCCGCCUGGGGAGUAUGCCCGCAAGGGUGAAACUUAAAGGAAUUGACGGGG
Molecule: ribosomal RNA, 392 nt
Filed under: uncultured bacterium
Lineage: Bacteria
Description: partial 16S ribosomal RNA
Rfam family: Bacterial small subunit ribosomal RNA
Source: RNAcentral